CUGUCGGUUCGACAAAACGUCGAGAGACCGACAGAAAGGGAACUGAGUACACAUUUAUAAAAAGAAGCAAAAUAGUUUGUAGUAGGACUAUUUUCCUGUGUCCUAUUCUUCCAGUACAUUUGCAAGUAUUGAGGUGAAGAACUUCAAUCCUGCCAUAAUGGAGAGCCUUACUGUUCUUCUAGUCAACAAGGAAACAGACAGAUCAACAUGUUCUGAUGAGUCACUGGAGAAUCUUCAAUCUAUCCUUAAUUCUGGUCCUCUCAAAUCAGUUAGUUACAAAUGCAGAGUAGUUCAUCAGGCAAAAGUCAAGGAUUGCAUUGAUGAUCAAAAGAUUCUUUGUGGCAACUGUUGGUAAAAAUCGAAAUCCAUCUGUGAACUAGAAUUUUUUUGCUAUUAUUUUUCUGUUUUGUUUCAUACUUUAAUUUUUCUAGAUAAUGUAUCUGAAACAUGAUUCUGAAUCUUGACAAUAUUGUCAUAUUUUGACACUGUUACUGGCUCAUUAUAUUACAUUUUAGGGGGGUUUCCCAGACAGUGUUUAGAUUUAGCUAAGACUAGGCCUUAAAUUAGGACAUUUCAGUGUUUUUUACAAACAUGUCUCACAAAAAAACAUUACCUGUGUGUAUUUUGAGACAAAACAAUGACACUGAUGUAUUUUAAGAUGUGUCAGUGCAAGCUGAUUGGGACUAGUCUUAAACCCUGUAUGGGAAACCACCCCAUUAUAAACUGAUUUUAAUUCAGCAAUUUAUUAAUCUAGAUUUUUUUAAAUGUAAAAUUCCAACUUGUGACUUGACUCUUGUUGAAUGGCUGUUGUGAAUUUAGUUUUUUUCUUUUUAUUCUUACUUUUCCCUCAGUACUACACGCUCCAUAUUUCCAAGUACACUAUAUGUAUAUCCCUAUCAAAGAGUAUAGAAUUCCAAGAGGCGAUACUCAAUAGAACAUUCCAUCGUGCCCAGUAGCAGCCCUCUGCUUCUGCCAUUUUGGUGUGAAAGUGACUCGGCAGUGCAAUAGGUUUUUGCUGUCGCGAUGGCAAUAUCAGCUGCUUUAAAAAAAAUCAAAGCUAAAAUCCAACCUGAAUGAUGACAAUACAUGAUGACAAAACCUUUGCUCUCUUGAAACCAUGUGUGUGUUAUCAAGUAUUCGCAUAGUAAACACUUUAUUAAUACCAACAAAUUAAGGACAAGCAUCAGAAAAAUUGGCAAUGUUGAACAAUAACUGGGUAGUUGACGAAUAAAUCGUGUGACAUAGCAAGAUUUAGGUAACAAACUGUAAAAAUUACAUUAUUUUAUAUUUUUAAUGUUUAUGUUUAUAAUAUAAAACAGUAUAAGAGAUUUUUUUUUCUUUUUUUUCCUAAAUUUGCAUAUUAAUCUGUCAAAUACCCAAAUUUUUAUGGAAAAAGCUAAUGGUUCACAAUGGUAGGCCUAUUUUAAUGGAAACCAUUAGAAUUGGGUUUCUAUUGUUUUUUCAGCAGUAAUACCCUUGCUAAAAACAAUAGAAACCCAAUAGAAACCAUCACAGAAAUUCUAAUGGCUACCAUUAUGAACCAUUAGCUUUUACUAGUGUGUUUUUGGUAUUAUUCCAAUAGGAUUUAACAUUAUUACCAUUGAAUUAUUAAUAUGAUUUUUUUCAGCAUGGUGAUAUAAAAUCAUCAUGUUUGUAGUGUGUUCCAGGGGAUUAAAACGUGCAAUAUAUAUUUCAGACCUAGUGGAGAAAAAGUAACUAAUAAUUGUAAUAGUGAAUGUGUAAAGUUGCAUAAAAUGGUAAUACUCAAUAAAGUAGGCUAAAUGGUUGGAUUCCACAACUGAUAACAUAAACGUAUAUAAGACAAUACAAAAUUUACUGUAGGUGUCAAAAAAUUUACUGAGGACUUAAUUUGAGAAUUUUCUAUUGCGCUAUUCUGUAUGCCUGUGCUACUUACCAGCUGCCAUUUUUCACCCCACACUACUAGUGGCUGUUUCCAAAAAAGAGUUUUGUCUCUUGGUUCUUUGUCCCUACAUUCCAUUAUACACGAUAUGCCACACUACAUUACCCAUAGUGCUUUGCUCUAGGUCUAUAAAUAGACCUAGUUUUUUCACAAGAACUGUGAUGAUGUUCAACGGUCAUUAGCAUUGUAAAUCCUCAAAAAAACAAUGUCAGCAUUUUUCCAAAAAAAAAACCAUUUGUAAACCUAUACUCUGUAUUAUAUUACCUUUGCAUCAAAUUACAAAAAACUGUUGAAGUCCCAGUGAAAUUAAAAAUUACAAUGCCUAUUUUUUCAUAAAAUAUUGUAGCGUUUAUUGUAAAUAAAUUAUCAAUGUGCGUCAUUCUCUUUUUAAAAGUCGUUUGCCCUCGUAAUCUUUAGUCAAAAUCUGAAAAUGAAAUGCCCUUGUCAGACUCUGUCUAUCUUUAUUUUAUUUUGUUGAAAGUAGGCCUAGUGAAAACACUAUCAUUGAGCAAAUGAGAAUGCAAAAAAUAUAUUUGUGGUUGUCUCCCAGUCACCGCUAUAGAAGUUUACCCAACUAUGGUGACUUCAUGGCGAAGUGAAGCUUUCUGAACCACCAUUUUGUUCAGCAAAUUUGUAUCUGAAAAAGGAUCUUAAGCUCUUAGCUUUUCGAAUCAGAACUCUACUAUGACCUCUGCUGGUGAAAGUGAGGGGAAGCACUGUGUCGCAAAAUGUUUCACAAUAGAACAACGCAUUCAUUUUAGAAUCAAUAAUGAAGAUCAGUAAAUUAAUAAAUCAGUAUAUUAAGUACAUGGCAACAAUCUGUUUCGUUGCAUACCUCUUGUAAUAAUAAUAUUAUAAAUAUAUAAUAUAAUAAAAAUAACAUUUUGUAUUGUUGAUGUGGACAUUUCUUUCUGUUUGUAAGUAAAUAAAUGCAGGUGCAUGCACAUGAUUAUAUUACAUCUGUAGCAGUAACAAGCCAAGACAACGCAUUUUUAAACCUUUGAAUCAAAGUGUGACGCAGUCACGUGGGUGAGUGUGUGUGAAAUGAAGCUUCGACGUGAUUUCGAUUAGUUGUUUUUGUAUGUACUUAUAUGGAUUGUUUCCGAUUUUAAUGUAAUGCUUUGUAGUGACACAAAACCAUCCUGUGCAUUGCCCUCUUCUUGAUUAUCCUGCUUAAUUGUGAUUACCUAUUUAUCUACUAAGGAUUGUUUUAUGUAAUGUGAAUGAACAUCUACAAUUGAUCCAACUGAAAUACUGAAGUUUAAUAAAGAAGAAUAAG
This is a long non-coding RNA of Triplophysa rosa, 3200 nucleotides long. RefSeq lists it as uncharacterized. The record is from RefSeq and is a predicted model, not a curated record. Lineage: Eukaryota; Metazoa; Chordata; Actinopteri; Cypriniformes; Nemacheilidae. The transcript has 3 exons.